UUAAACAAGUUGAGCAGGAAAGUAAGUUACCUGAAGCAUCAAAGAGAGACAACGUUCGGUGUGAGUUGUUAUGUGGAUUGUUUCUGAAAAUGGCCUGUGAUUGGCGUUGGUGAGCAGCAAGUCUGUAAGCUAACGACGGAUUGGUCUACGUUACAAGACACACGAAUCGGCAAAGCAUCAUCUCGCUCACUGCCCGCUCGUUGUUAAGGUCUGGAGUGGCAACGCUCCAGAUGAAGUAGAAUGGUAACACGAAGACUCGUUUCUAUU
RNAcentral lists this non-coding RNA (267 nucleotides) under Weissella confusa. Its description in RNAcentral is "T-box sequence". It matches the Rfam family "T-box leader". From Rfam's summary of the family: Uncharged tRNA acts as the effector for transcription antitermination of genes in the T-box leader family. T-boxes are found upstream of many aminoacyl-tRNA synthetase genes and some amino acid biosynthetic genes usually in Gram-positive bacteria. The anticodon of a specific tRNA base pairs to a specifier sequence within the T-box motif, and the NCCA acceptor tail of the tRNA base pairs to a conserved bulge in the T-box antiterminator hairpin. The record is from RNAcentral. Lineage: Bacteria; Bacillati; Bacillota; Bacilli; Lactobacillales; Lactobacillaceae.